CGUCACGACGCCCGGGUCAGGGCCCGGGCGCGGCUCGGAGCCAGGUCGUCGCUAUAGCAAUCGGGAAUCUCUACCUGUCCCUUCCAAGGAUUCGGUCCACCUGAAGCGUGAGGAGGUGGCGGAGGCCCCAAGGGCUCUGCGCUGUCACUUCCGCGGCCUGCGGGCGAGAAGGUGCGCUUCGGGAGUAGCGCGGGAGGACAGGAGGCGCAGGUUGUGAGGGACGCAGGCCGGGGCUUCCGUCUCUGUCCUCCGAGCUCAGAGCCCCCAGGCUUCUUCCCGGCCGCGCGCUCAGCACUCACUGUCUUACGGUCCCGAAGCGCUUUAAGGUGCGCAGUCCGCAGGCCUUGCCUACUGAUCUUCGAGCCACCCCUUGAAGGAAGCAGUUGCAGACGCUGAGCACAGUGCCAAACCUAGAUAGAAACUCAUUUGGGAUAUGGAGGAGAAUAUGCCACCAGUUCUCCAAAGUAGAGGGGUGCAAACGGCAUUUGGCAUCCUUGAUCUUGAAGGAGGCCCGUUGUUUAAUGGACAGCACUGCAGCCUCUAGAGGGAUGGUAGAAACUCAGCACAGUAUGGGAUGCCCAUGGAGGUCAGAGGUGCCAUGGGGGAUGUUGAGAAGCUGGGCAAUAAGCCAGGGGCUUGGCUGGGGGAGUGAGAUUAUGAAAGCCAAGGGGAUCAGAUGUUAGGGCAGAGGGAGUGAGGGUGCAGGGGUGGAGAAUUACAGGGCAAAAAAGAGGAUCCAGGAGAAAGGAAGGCCAGGGGAUUGAUGAAGAACAAAAAUAAGGGAUUAAUGUUAAGAGAGUAGGGUGGGAACAGGGCUUCUGGGCUGGUGCUCACCAUGGCAGUGGUUGGAGUUCGUGCUGUUCCCAUUGUGGCCAGCUCGGGCUGGAGCAGUCCUGGGGCUGGGGGUCCCACAGCUCACCGUGAAGCCAUUCUCAGACUCUGAGAGAAAGAGCCUGUCACAGUUCUGACCUGCCUUCCCAACCCCCACUGGCUGGAGGAAUCCAAAGGGAACGAAGGAGCUGCCUGAAUGGCCAGUCCUUCCUCUUCUCCUCCAAAGCUCUCCAGCACCCUCCUCCCAUGUACCUGGCAAAAACCGGGCCAU
Rhinopithecus roxellana (golden snub-nosed monkey) is the source of this 1102-nucleotide long non-coding RNA. RefSeq lists it as uncharacterized. The transcript is spliced from 3 exons. NCBI's taxonomy places the organism in Eukaryota, Metazoa, Chordata, Mammalia, Primates, Cercopithecidae. The record is from RefSeq and is a predicted model, not a curated record.